GCAUAUAACUCGGCGAAAUGAUUUCAGCGGCCCGAAUUCCUCUAAAAUUUGACAUGGCUCAAAAGAACGUUAGCGGCGGGAUUAGGCAUGCAAGUCGUACGCACAGCUUCGGUGGUGAUGGCGCAAGGGUAAUAAUGCGAAGUAACCAACCCUGGUGGUUGGGCAUAACCGCGGGAAACUGCGGGUUAUUUCCCAGCGACGUCGCGAGAUGGCAUUCUUCUUUGCGACCAAAGGUGUGAUUCCGCUUCUAGGACGGGCCUUCGUGGUAUUAAGGUAGUUGGGUGAGGGUAAUGGCUCACCAAGCCGACAAUGCCUACCGGGGUUGUGAAAAGCAUGACCCCGCACACUGGAACUGAAAACCUGGUCCCAACCCCUACGGGGUGGGUGGCAGUCAAAAUAUUCUUCGGCAAGUGGGGCGAAAACCUUGAACCGAGCCACCCCCCCCGUGGAGAGAAAAAAAGGCCCUUCGGUUUGAAAACCUCUCUUUCAAAAAAGGAAGGAAAGGGGCCCUGGCAAAACCGUUCUUUUACUCUUUUUUAAGAAAAAAGCGUUGGGCUUAGUUUCGGGGCCACCCCCCCCGGGUAAGACCAACCAGCCGAAACUUUUUUUCGAAUUUCCGGGGCUUAAAGGCCGGGGGGGGGCGGAAAAACCCCCUCCCUUUCUUUAAAUCCCCCCGGCCCCACCGGGGGAAAAAGGGGCCGAAAACAAAUGGCUGGGGGGGGGGUAGGGGAAAAUGGAUUUUUCGGGGGGGAAGGUGAAAUUUCUUUAAAAUUGAAAAGAACCCCCCCGGGAAAACCAAUUUCUGGAACCCUUUUCGGGAGCUGAAAACCCAAAAGCCGGGGGGAACCAAACGGGAUUUAGAUCCCCCGGUAGUCCUGGCUGUAAACAUUGCGCACUGGGUAGUGGAACCCGGCCGAUGGUUUUCACUGCCGCAGGAAACCGUGAAGUGCCCCCGCUUGAGUAGUUAUGGUCGGCAAGGCUGAACUCAAAGUAAUGACGGCGCCUCACACUAGCCAGUGUCCAUGUAAUGCGUCGUCAUCUAUAACAGG
Molecule: ribosomal RNA, 1049 nt
Filed under: uncultured bacterium
Lineage: Bacteria
Description: partial 16S ribosomal RNA
Rfam family: Bacterial small subunit ribosomal RNA
Source: RNAcentral